RNAcentral lists this long non-coding RNA (238 nucleotides) under Mytilus galloprovincialis (Mediterranean mussel). Lineage: Eukaryota; Metazoa; Mollusca; Bivalvia; Mytilida; Mytilidae. The record is from RNAcentral.
CACAGUUUACAUUAAAAAUUAUAUAAUUGUCCCGAAUAAACAGCUGUCAUGGAUGCAAAGAGCUAUUGGAGAAACAAUUAUUUUAAUAAAAAUAUAAAUCUUUGUAAGAUCUAGUUCAAAUAUUUAUAGUUUUUCACUUGCUUUCCAUCACGAUAUAAUUUUCAAGACGUUUUUUCAAACACAACCAAAUCACCCACCAUGACAGCAUUUUGUCCAAUCACAGAAAGGAUUUUCGAGC